GUAAGAUGUGGUGGGGUGAGGUGAUGUGAUGUAUGGUGGGGUGGGGGGAGUUGAGUUGAGGUAAGGUGAUGUAAGGUGUGGUGGGGUGAGGUGAGGUAAGGUGUGGUGGGGUGAGAUGCGGUAAGGUAAGGUGAGGUGAGGUGAGUUAAGGUAUGGUGGGGUGUGGUGAGGUGAGGUGAGGUGAGGUGAGGUGAGGUAAGGUAUGGUGGGGUGAGGUGAUGUGAGGUAAGGUAUGGUGUGGUGAGGUGAGGUAUGCUGGGGUGAGUUGAGGUAAUGUGAUGUAAGUUGUGGUGAGGUGAGUAUCCCUGACCUAAAACAGACAAUAUAACUUAAAUCAUCCAAUCAGUCAGCCAGUCAGGCCGUCAGUCAGCCAGUCAGUCAGCCAGGCAGUCAGGCAGGCAGGCAGCCAGCCAGCCAGCCAGUCAGCCAGUCAGGCAGUCAGGCAGUCAGCCAGCCAGUCAGCCAGGCAGUCAGCCAGGCAGUCAGUCAGCCAGGCAGUCAGCUAGCCAGGCAGUCAGCCAGUCAGGCAGUCAGGCAGGCAGUCAGCCAGGCAGUCAGCCAGUCAGGCCGUCAGUCAGCCAGGCAGUCAGCCAGGCAGUCAGGCAGUCAGGCAGGCAUCCAGCCAGCCAGCCAGUCAGCCAGUCAGCCAGGCAGUCAGCCAGCCAGGCAGUCAGCCAGGCAGUCAGGCAGGCAGGCAGACAGUCAGCCAGCCAGGAAGCCAGGCAGCCAGGCAGUCAGCAGGUCAGCCAGCCAGUCAGUCAGUCAGUCAGCCAGUCAGUCAGUCAGUCAGUCAGGCUGGAAGUCAGCCAGUCAGUCAGCCAGUCAGUCAGCCAGGCAGUCAGCCAGGCAGUCAGCCAGACAGGCAGUCAGCCAGUCAGGCAUUUAGGCAGUCAGUCAGCCAGCCAGCCAGCCAGCCAGGCAGUCAGCCAGUCAGCCAGUCAGUCAGUCAGUCAGCCAGUCAGGCAGUCAGUCAGCCAGUCAGGCAGUAAGUCAGCCGGUCAGUCAGCCAGUCAGUCAGCCAGGCAGUCAGCCAGCCAGGCAGUCAGCCAGUCAGGCAUUUAGGCAGUCAGUCAGCCAGCCAGCCAGGCAGUCAGCCAGUCAGCCAGGCAGUCAGUCAGUCAG
This 1122-nucleotide long non-coding RNA is filed under the name Salmo salar (Atlantic salmon). RNAcentral describes it as "lncRNA (ENSSSAG00000121740.1)". The record is from RNAcentral. Lineage: Eukaryota; Metazoa; Chordata; Actinopteri; Salmoniformes; Salmonidae.